UUUGGCGGUUAAAUCAGUUCGGAUCCUCGAGGCUGCGGUCAUUCUUCGUUUUCAAGAUGAAUCAUUUUAGCUGAAGAAUAUAAACAGCUAUAAAGAGGGCAGGACCGGGUCAGACCUCCAGUCAGACGUGGAAGUGUCUGGGAAAAGACCACCAAGGAGGAGUGUCCGGACCCCCUGGAGAUAAGGAGCAUUGAUUGUUUGACUCAGAGGAUGUGUGACACACCACCCAAACACAUUCUUCCACCUGCCCCUACUGUUAACUUCCCCACAGUCACCCCAAACACCAUUUUCAUCCCUGUUCC
Molecule: long non-coding RNA, 302 nt
Organism: Ictalurus punctatus (channel catfish)
Lineage: Eukaryota; Metazoa; Chordata; Actinopteri; Siluriformes; Ictaluridae
Source: Ensembl